Molecule: long non-coding RNA, 1878 nt
Filed under: Nicotiana benthamiana
Lineage: Eukaryota; Viridiplantae; Streptophyta; Magnoliopsida; Solanales; Solanaceae
Description: long non-coding RNA (NBEN_LNC004350)
Source: RNAcentral
AGCAAUGGCCGUUGAUGUCCUAGCAAUCAAACUCUACCAAAUUGGUUCCACGGAACCACCAGAUCACUCUCGCAUCAAAUCCAUGAGCUAUCUUCCCCAAAUACUCCCCAACCGUCUUCAAUCGUAAAUCAAAGCUCAAAGUCUCUAAGAUUCAAGACCAAACCUGAACAUGCAAAGCGACUGCUCCAGUUUUCUCGAGGUUUUUAAAGUCGACUUCGUCGCGAAUUAGUAUUGCUCGCUUGUUCUUGACAAAGAAUAAGAGGUUGAUACUGUUUGGUGUAGAAGUCAAGAAGCCGGGUUCGAAGUCAAGUCCGGUGAGGUGAGUCUUUUCUCUGGUUGAUGCUUUCUGAAUAUUUGGGUUUCUGCUUUCCUUUCUUCUUCUUUUGAACAAUUCAGUCGAAAUUCAAGUUGAGUAUUAGCCAUAGUAGUUAGCUGUUGUUUAAUCAUUCUUUAAAUCUAUUUUUGUUAUAGUUAAUCUUAUCAGGACUUGGUCCAAAUAUUUUCAUGUGAAUAAUUGAGUUAGUUUAUUCGACUUUGAUUAUUUGAUUGGGCUGUUUGAUUUGAAUAGUUGGUUCAGAUUGUUUUUGGGGGAAACUUUUGAGCCAGCUCUAUUUUAGGAUCACUCAGUGCCCAAUUGGGCUUUUAGUUCAAGAGCCCGAUUGGUUUGGUCAAUUGACCUAGGCUAGGUUAAGGGUAGUUUUAGGGUAAUUUCAGGGUCAUUAAAGGGUAAUCUAGGUAGUUCAAUACAGUGAAUCUUUGUGUAACUAAAAGAAGAAGCUUCUAGCAAGGGCUACUAGCCAAUUUCAGGCUUUUAAAUGGCUAAGCUUUGGCAUCAAGUUAGUAGUUGGAGGAUUAAGUAGAAAAAGGGAAGUGUAAUGGGGACUAACUCGAAAUAAUUGAACCCUAAAGGGGCGGCCCUCACUCUUACCUAUAAAAGGCAUGCCUCAUGCCUUGAACAAUAAGUUUGAAGCCCUACAAUCCCCCCCCCCCCCCAAAAAAAAANNNNNNNNNNNNNNNNNNNNNNNNNNNNNNNNNNNNNNNNNNNNNNNNNNNNNNNNNNNNNNNNNNNNNNNNNNNNNNNNNNNNNNNNNNNNNCCCACCCCCCCCCAAUAAAACAAUUAAUCUAUAGUUUCAUAUCCAAAUCUGAUUUUCAGAUCUGAAAUUUUGAACUCUUCUUUCCAUCCUAGAAAAAUCAAAUAAUAAAAUAAAAUACAAAGCUACAGAGAAAAACAAAAAAAUCAUUGUGCUAUUGAAUUAUUAGGUAUAUUUCGAGUUUAAUAAUGGCAAUGCAUCUUCUAGCUUAGGUUUUAUCCACUGGCUGGUUUCUAGAGACUCCUGGGGUAGCUUUCGAGUGGUCUUGAUUGUAACAAGCUGAUUUGGGAUAAUUUUCAUUGGUGUUGUUCUGUUUCUAUCCAUUGUUUGUCAUAAUUGGUGCUGGUGUUGGUUUUGAAAUCUUCCUGGAUUGCCGAUCCUAUUUCUGGAGCAUUUCGAGUCCAUUUGAGUGCAUUUCAAAUGAUUGUAGUUGAUUGCUUGGGUCUGCCUGGUUUCAAACUUUUCUGGGCUGUUGAACUAACUUUCUUGGCUACCGUUUGAGUUCUGCUUGUUCCUGCUACUGAUUUCAGCUUCUCCUUCUUAUUUGUGAUUUCCAAGUACCAUACUGAGCCCAAAUUGAUGUAGUUUCACCUCUGAAAGUAUGAAAUAAAAUUGUUGCAAAGUUUCCUGUUGAGCAUCUGCACCUUAGUUAAUUUUAGUCAUGUUUCGAAUUAGUGGUUCAUUGUAUUCAAAUUGGCAUUGUUGUUGAAUUGUUUGGAUUGUUUUGACUCAAGGAUUGUUUGGGUUUGGACUAUGCUUAUUCAUAAGUCAUAAUAAUUUGUACAG